UACAGAGGUGGCAAGCGUUGUUCGGAAUUACUGGGCGUAAAGCGUGCGCAGACGGUUGCGUAAGUCAGAUGUGAAAGCCCCGGGCUCAACCUGGGAAUUGCAUUUGAGACUGCGUAGCUAGGGUGCGGAAGAGGGAAGCGGAAUUUCCGGUGUAGCGGUGAAAUGCGUAGAUAUCGGAAGGAACACCAGUGGCGAAAGCGGCUUCCUGGUCCAGCACCGACGUCAGGCACGAAAGCGUGGGGAGCAAACAGG
This 252-nucleotide ribosomal RNA is filed under the name uncultured bacterium. Its description in RNAcentral is "partial 16S ribosomal RNA". It matches the Rfam family "Bacterial small subunit ribosomal RNA", at positions 524 to 776 of the family's 1533-position model. The record is from RNAcentral.